UACGAAGGGUGCAAGCGUUACUCGGAAUUACUGGGCGUAAAGCGUGCGUAGGUGGUUCGUUAAGUCUGAUGUGAAAGCCCUAGGCUCAACCUGGGAAUUGCAUUGGAUACUGGCGGGCUAGAGUGCGGUAGAGGAUAGUGGAAUUCCCGGUGUAGCAGUGAAAUGCGUAGAGAUCGGGAGGAACAUCUGUGGCGAAGGCGACUAUCUGGGCCAGCACUGACACUGAGGCACGAAAGCGUGGGGAGCAAACAGG
This 253-nucleotide ribosomal RNA is filed under the name uncultured bacterium. RNAcentral's name for it is "partial 16S ribosomal RNA". It matches the Rfam family "Bacterial small subunit ribosomal RNA", at positions 524 to 776 of the family's 1533-position model. The record is from RNAcentral.